This 341-nucleotide ribosomal RNA is filed under the name uncultured fungus. RNAcentral describes it as "eukaryotic LSU rRNA". The stretch from base 1 to 125 matches the Rfam family "5.8S ribosomal RNA", at positions 30 to 154 of the family's 154-position model. Lineage: Eukaryota; Fungi. The record is from RNAcentral.
GCAUCGAUGAAGAACGCAGCGAAAUGCGAUAAGUAAUGUGAAUUGCAGAAUUCAGUGAAUCAUCGAAUCUUUGAACGCACAUUGCGCCCCUUGGUAUUCCAUGGGGCAUGCCUGUUCGAGCGUCAUUUGUACCUUCAAGCUCUGCUUGGUGUUGGGUGUUUGUCUCGCCUCUGCGCGUAGACUCGCCUCAAAACAAUUGGCAGCCGGCGUAUUGAUUUCGGAGCGCAGUACAUCUCGCGCUUUGCAUUCAGAACGACGACGUCCAAAAGUACAUUUUUACACUCUUGACCUCGGAUCAGGUAGGGAUACCCGCUGAACUUAAGCAUAUCAAUAAGCGGAGG